RNAcentral lists this ribosomal RNA (450 nucleotides) under uncultured bacterium. RNAcentral describes it as "bacterial SSU rRNA". It matches the Rfam family "Bacterial small subunit ribosomal RNA", at positions 355 to 796 of the family's 1533-position model. The record is from RNAcentral.
UGGGGAAUUUUCCGCAAUGGGCGAAAGCCUGACGGAGUGACGCCGCGUGGGGGACGAAGGCCUUCGGGUUGUAAACCCCUGUCAGAGGGAAAGAAGGGUCGCCUGGCUAAUAUCCAGGUGAUCUGACGGUACCUUCAGAGGAAGCCCCGGCCAACUCUGUGCCAGCAGCCGCGGUAAGACAGAGGGGGCAAGCGUUGCUCGGAAUCACUGGGCGUAAAGGGCGCGUAGGCGGGAUGGCAAGUCAGUCGUGAAAUCUCUCGGCUCAACCGAGAAACGUCGGCUGAUACUGCCGUUCUUGAGGGAUGCAGAGGAGACUGGAAUUCCCGGUGUAGCGGUGAAAUGUGUAGAGAUCGGGAGGAACACCGGUGGCGAAGGCGGGUCUCUGGGCAUUUCCUGACGCUGAGGCGCGAAAGCGUGGGGAGCAAACGGGAUUAGAUACCCCCGUAGUCC